GCUGUCAGGCAGUGGCAGUAUCGUAGCCAAUGAGGUUUAUCCGAGGCGCGAUUAUUGCUAAUUGAAACUUUUCCCAGAAGUGAAGAUCAGAUGCAGAGUUCUGGCCACUGGAAGAAGCCAUAGCUU
This 126-nucleotide small nuclear RNA is filed under the name Neogale vison (American mink). RNAcentral describes it as "Neovison vison (American mink) U4 spliceosomal RNA (ENSNVIG00000021003.1)". It matches the Rfam family "U4 spliceosomal RNA". Rfam says of the family: U4 small nuclear RNA (U4 snRNA) is a component of the major U2-dependent spliceosome. The record is from Rfam by way of RNAcentral. Lineage: Eukaryota; Metazoa; Chordata; Mammalia; Carnivora; Mustelidae.